RNAcentral lists this ribosomal RNA (484 nucleotides) under uncultured bacterium. RNAcentral's name for it is "partial 16S ribosomal RNA". It matches the Rfam family "Bacterial small subunit ribosomal RNA", at positions 28 to 523 of the family's 1533-position model. The record is from RNAcentral.
GACGAACGCUGGCGGCGUGCUUAACACAUGCAAGUCGAACGAUGAAGCCGGAGCUUGCUCUGGUGAAUUAGUGGCGAACGGGUGAGUAACACGUGAGUAACCUGCCCUUGACUCUGGGAUAACUGCGGGAAACUGUAGCUAAUACCGGAUCCGACCCUCGGAGGCAUCUCCUGGGGGUGGAAAGAAUUUCGGUCAAGGAUGGACUCGCGGCCUAUCAGCUAGUUGGUGAGGUAAAGGCUCACCAAGGCGACGAAGGGUAGCCGGCCUGAGAGGGUGACCGGCCACACUGGGACUGAGACACGGCCCAGACUCCUACGGGAGGCAGCAGUGGGGAAUAUUGCACAAUGGGCGCAAGCCUGAUGCAGCAACGCCGCGUGAGGGAUGACGGCCUUCGGGUUGUAGACCUCUUUUAGCAGGGAAGAAGCGAAAGUGACGGUACCUGCAGAAAAAGCACCGGCUAACUACGUGCCAGCCGCCGCCGUAA